CCUACGGGUGGCAGCAGUAGGGAAUCUUCCACAAUGGGCGAAAGCCUGAUGGAGCAACGCCGCGUGGGUGAAGAAGGUCUUCGGAUCGUAAAACCCUGUUGUUAGAGAAGAAAGUGCGUGAGAGUAACUGUUCACGUUUCGACGGUAUCUAACCAGAAAGCCACGGCUAACUACGUGCCAGCAGCCGCGGUAAUACGUAGGGGGCAAGCGUUAUCCGGAUUUAUGGGGCGUAAAGGGAACGCAGGCGGUCUUUUAAGUCUGAUGUAAAAGCCUUCGGCUUAACCGGAGUAGUGCAUUGGAAACUGGGAGACUGGAGUGCAGAAGAGGAGAGUGGAACUCCAUGUGUAGCGGUGAAAUGCGUAGAUAUAUGGAAGAACACCAGUGGCGAAAGUGGCUCUCUGGUCUGUAACUGACGCUGAGGUUCGAAAGCGUGGGUAGCAAACAGGAUUAGAUACCCGGGUAGUC
Molecule: ribosomal RNA, 465 nt
Filed under: uncultured bacterium
Lineage: Bacteria
Description: partial 16S ribosomal RNA
Rfam family: Bacterial small subunit ribosomal RNA
Source: RNAcentral